CAUGCAUUGGUGGGGUCCCUUGGCCUGGCCUGAGCCCUCCCACAAUCUGAGGGGGAUGUUGGAUUGCCAGUUUCAGCUCGAUGCCUGCAGGCCAGGCCAAGGGACCCCACCAGUGCACA
Molecule: microRNA precursor, 119 nt
Filed under: Myotis lucifugus (little brown bat)
Lineage: Eukaryota; Metazoa; Chordata; Mammalia; Chiroptera; Vespertilionidae
Description: mir-9193 microRNA precursor family
Rfam family: mir-9193 microRNA precursor family
Source: Rfam by way of RNAcentral